RNAcentral lists this ribosomal RNA (401 nucleotides) under uncultured bacterium. RNAcentral's name for it is "bacterial SSU rRNA". It matches the Rfam family "Bacterial small subunit ribosomal RNA", at positions 29 to 429 of the family's 1533-position model. The record is from RNAcentral.
AUUGAACGCUGGCGGCAUGCCUAACACAUGCAAGUCGAACGGCAGCACAGCAGUAGCAAUACUGUGGGUGGCGAGUGGCGGACGGGUGAGGAAUACGUCGGAAUCUGCCCAGUCGUGGGGGAUAACUAGCCGAAAGGUUAGCUAAUACCGCAUACGACCGAGAGGUGAAAGCGGGGGACCGCAAGGCCUCGCGCGAUUGGAUGAGCCGACGUCGGAUUAGCUAGUUGGCGGGUAAAGGCCCACCAAGGCGACGAUCCGUAGCUGGUCUGAGAGGAUGAUCAGCCACACUGGAACUGAGACACGGUCCAGACUCCUACGGGAGGCAGCAGUGGGGAAUAUUGGACAAUGGGCGCAAGCCUGAUCCAGCAAUGCCGCGUGUGUGAAGAAGGCCUCGGUGUAAG